AUUGAACGCUGGCGGCAGGCUUAACACAUGCAAGUCGAGCGGGGUGAUGGUGCUUGCACUAUCACUUAGCGGCGGACGGGUGAGUAAUGCUUAGGAAUCUGCCUAUUAGUUGGGGACAACAUCUCGAAAGGGAUGCUAAUACCGCAUACGUCCUACGGGAGAAAGCAGGGGAUCACUUGUGACCUUGCGCUAAUAGAUGAGCCUAAGUCGGAUUAGCUAGUUGGUGGGGUAAAGGCCUACCAAGGCGACGAUCUGUAGCGGGUCUGGGAGGAGGAUCGGCCGCACUGGGACUGAGAAACGGCACAGCCUCCUACGGGAUGCAGCAGUGGGGAAUAUUGGACAAUGGGGGGAACCCUGAUCCAGCCAUGCCGCGUGUGUGAAGAAGGCCUUAUGGUUGUAAAGCACUUUAAGCGAGGAGGAGGCUCUUUUGGUUAAUACCCAAGAUGAGUGGACGUUACUCGCAGAAUAAGCACCGGCUAACUCUGUGCCAGCCGCCGCCGUAA
This 503-nucleotide ribosomal RNA is filed under the name uncultured bacterium. Its description in RNAcentral is "partial 16S ribosomal RNA". It matches the Rfam family "Bacterial small subunit ribosomal RNA", at positions 30 to 523 of the family's 1533-position model. The record is from RNAcentral.